CGGCGGCCCGAGUGGUGGCCGCUAUUAUUGGGCCUAAAGCGUCCGUAGCCGGGCCCGUAAGUCCCUGGCGAAAUCCCACGGCUCAACCGUGGGGCUUGCUGGGGAUACUGCGGGCCUUGGGACCGGGAGAGGCCAGGGGUACCCCUGGGGUAGGGGUGAAAUCCUAUAAUCCCAGGGGGACCGCCAGUGGCGAAGGCGCCCGGCUGGAACGGGUCCGACGGUGAGGGACGAAGGCCAGGGGAGCGAACCGGAUUAGAUACCCGAGUAGUCC
RNAcentral lists this ribosomal RNA (271 nucleotides) under uncultured archaeon. Its description in RNAcentral is "partial 16S ribosomal RNA". It matches the Rfam family "Archaeal small subunit ribosomal RNA", at positions 477 to 747 of the family's 1478-position model. The record is from RNAcentral.